Molecule: long non-coding RNA, 1589 nt
Filed under: Olea europaea subsp. europaea
Lineage: Eukaryota; Viridiplantae; Streptophyta; Magnoliopsida; Lamiales; Oleaceae
Source: RNAcentral
UUGUAAGUUAGAUUAAGUUUAGCUGGGUGAUUUUCUCAUCUAUUAAAAAUUGCUAGGAACAAGCUAUUACCGAUCAUUAUCAUCCACCAUACAACUAUGAUGGUUUACACUUUCAUUAAGUUAGGAAAUGCUUCCAUUUCCAUUAGAAUUAGGUGGAAUUCCCACUGCUCUGGUUUUUCAAAUUUUGGUUUAGUCACUGACUAUUGCUAAUUUAACUAGGCCAUACAAGGUUGUGGAAGUAAAAAAGUUAAAUUGAAAUUAUGGAAAAAACAACAAGUGAACUGGAGAACCGGUUGACUACACUGGUUAGACCAAUUAGCCUAUUGGUAGUAUGCUUGACCCCAGUUGUUGUGUUUCUUAAGAUUCUCAAUUACUAGGCUAUGCGUAGUAGUUCUUGUUGAUGAAAGUAAUCCAUGACAUGCUAUAAUUUGCUAAAUAUAUUAUUUUCCCAGUCUUUGAAUGCUUCAUUUUUAUGCUCCUGUUAAUGAAUUUCAGUUUCUUCAUCUACAUCUUAGUUUUUGUGAACAAAAAUGUCCCAUGGUGUUAUCACAUUUCACAGUUAAUGCGGACUAUGUCUGAAUAACCAAUCAAUGCGGAUGAUUUUGCAAGUUGGUGGAUUUUUCAUAGUACCAAUGUUAAAUAUUAGUCAUGACUUGUAUAUAUGAGGUCACCACUUGAUAAGUAAUGCACCCUAUGAAUUAGUUCUUAUUACUAUUAGAAUAUCAUUCAUUGGUGAACACUAAAUAUUUGUAAUUGAACUUCUUGUUUUCUUUGUAUAGUUCAAUGGUGUUAAUAAUGCCUCGUGCUAGAGGAAGAAUUGAUAUAGCAUGGUGACAUUGUAGAGAGGUUUUAGAAACUGGUAAUAAUGGAAAUUUAAAAAAAAAAAAAAAAAAAAAAACUCAUUUGCUUGUAUUGUGGAAAGACUUUUGGUGGAGGUGGUAUUAAUCGAGUCAAACAACACUUAACGGGAUUAAAAGGUGAUGUAGAUUCUUGUCGUAGAGUACCUCCUGAUGUUAGAUUUUAAAUGAAAGAAAACUUGGACAUCUUUGUGCAAAGAAGUGUAGAACUCGAGAAGUUCUUGAUGAGUAGAACGCACAUAGCUCUUAUUAUUGGGAACAAGAAGACCACACGUAUAGACAUUUGGGUGAUGAUGAUGUUCAAGAGAUUAUCCAUUCUAGUUCUCAAGGAAAGGAUAUAGCUAUUGAUAAAAGUCGAAGAAAAUGAAUGGGAGCUAAACAUUUAAAAGAACAAAAAGGAGUUGGUUCUUACUUCAUGCCAAGAACAGGACCUGGUAACCAACCUACUAUCAAAAGUGUUCUCAGAGCAAAGAAGCUAUAGAGAAAUGUGAUCUCACUAUAUCAAAAUAGAUGAUUGAUUCAUGUAUUCCUUUCAAUGCUAUAAAUUCUGUGUAUUAUCAACAAAGUAUAGAUGUCAUAGCUAGCAUGGACCCUGGCUAUAAAAGUGCGAACUUUCACAGUCUCGACUAAAAAUGUCGAUGAGGUACAAAAUUAUGUUGAAAGCUAUCGUUUAAUGUGGAAGACGACUGGUUGUACAAUUAUGGCAUAUGGUUGGAGACAUCAGUGUAAAAG